GACGAACGCUGGCGGCGUGCUUAACACAUGCAAGUCGAGCGGUAAGGCCCUUUCGGGGGUACACGAGCGGCGAACGGGUGAGUAACACGUGGGUGACCUGCCCUCAGCUCUGGGAUAAGCCUGGGAAACCGGGUCUAAUACUGGAUAUGACUCCAUGACGCAUGUUGUGGGGUGGAAAGCCUUGUGCGGCUGAGGAUGGGCCCGCGGCCUAUCAGCUUGUUGGUGGGGUGANGGCCUACCAAGGCGACGACGGGUAGCCGGCCUGAGAGGGCGACCGGCCACACUGGGACUGAGACACGGCCCAGACUCCUACGGGAGGCAGCAGUGGGGAAUCUUGCGCAAUGGGCGAAAGCCUGACGCAGCGACGCCGCGUGAGGGAUGACGGCCUGUGUAA
This 394-nucleotide ribosomal RNA is filed under the name uncultured bacterium. Its description in RNAcentral is "bacterial SSU rRNA". It matches the Rfam family "Bacterial small subunit ribosomal RNA", at positions 28 to 428 of the family's 1533-position model. The record is from RNAcentral.